CGAAACAUAGCUUAAUUAAAGCACCUCGCUUACACCGAGAUAAUAUUUGUUGAACCCAAAUUGUUUUGA
Molecule: transfer RNA, 69 nt
Filed under: Cryptobatrachus remotus
Lineage: Eukaryota; Metazoa; Chordata; Amphibia; Anura; Hemiphractidae
Description: partial tRNA-Val
Rfam family: tRNA
About the family: Transfer RNA (tRNA) molecules are approximately 80 nucleotides in length. Their secondary structure includes four short double-helical elements and three loops (D, anti-codon, and T loops).
Source: RNAcentral